AUUGAACGCUGGCGGCAGGCUUAACACAUGCAAGUCGAGCGAGCGGCGCGCGGGUGAGUAAUGUCUGUGAAACUGCCUGAUGGUGGGGGAGAACUACUGGAAACGGUAGCUAAUACCGCAUACCAUCAGAUGUGCCGAGAUGGGAUUAGCUAGUCGGUGGGGUAAUGGAUCACCUAGGCGACGAUCCGUAGCUGGUCUGAGAGGAUGACCAGGCACACUGGAACGGAGACACGGUCCAGACUCCUACGGGAGGCAGCAGUGGGGAAUAUUGCACAAUGGGCGCAAGCCUGAUGCAGCCAUGCCGCGUGUGUGAAGAAGGCCUUCGGGUUGUAAAGCACUUUCAGCGAGGAGGCGUUACUCGCAGAAGAAGCACCGGCUAACUCCGUGCCAGCCGCCGCGGUAAUAC
RNAcentral lists this ribosomal RNA (406 nucleotides) under uncultured bacterium. Its description in RNAcentral is "partial 16S ribosomal RNA". It matches the Rfam family "Bacterial small subunit ribosomal RNA", at positions 30 to 526 of the family's 1533-position model. The record is from RNAcentral.